Molecule: long non-coding RNA, 192 nt
Organism: Apteryx owenii (little spotted kiwi)
Lineage: Eukaryota; Metazoa; Chordata; Aves; Apterygiformes; Apterygidae
Source: Ensembl
AUGUAUGAAGACUGCAAAUCCAUUUCUGCUCAGGAGAUGAUGGAAAAAUGUCCUCUCUCACUACAGAAGAGCACUCUCAAAUUUCCCUGCUACUACUUGAAACGUGGUGAUGCUUUUAAAGCAGACAUUUUCUGUGGCCUUAGCUGCUCACAGGUCUGUCCUAAAACCGAAGUAGCCACUGUGCAUACAUAG